Molecule: non-coding RNA, 502 nt
Organism: Schizosaccharomyces pombe (fission yeast)
Lineage: Eukaryota; Fungi; Ascomycota; Schizosaccharomycetes; Schizosaccharomycetales; Schizosaccharomycetaceae
Source: the annotation of a GenBank genome assembly
ACUCCAGUAAGAGUAAGUGAAGUAGGGGUUUUUGCAAAAAGACAAAGUAUUAGAAUUGGUUCCAAAAAAUAGCCUAUCCCUUUGGUAGUUGGACAAUCAUGGACUACACGACCUCCUAUAAUAUUUCCUGGGCGAUAUAUGAACGAAGUACCUGUGUAAGAAAUUUCUAUGACACUGCCAUUGGUCAACUUCUCCAACAGCCUUAAAAACGAAACCUGGUAAUCUUUGACACCAGGAUCGGCUUCAUCUGGGUAAAUUCCUUCAACUCGAAUCGGAGUUCCCGAGAGAGUUGCAAGGACUAACCGAUGCGUCAAAUACUCACAUCCUUUAAAGCGUUUGAGCUGACCGGUUGACAUCACGAGUUUAACAAUUCAAAAUGAAUGCAAAGCCCCGAAUUAUUUUAAAAACGCGUUUUUCGAGACUUUGAUAUUUCAAUUCCUUUACAGGAAAUUUUUAGUUUUGGUAAAAGAAUUUCUACAGCGCAAGAGGUAGAAUUGACCUC